UCCCCUAUCGGUGCUUUGUAGUAUCUGCUCUGCUUGUUACACACACUCAACACUCUGUCAGACUCCUUUCAAUGGCUGCAUGAGCCUCCAUCGCACUGAUGCCUCCGCUCACAGCUCUUUGCCGUGCUCUCUUCAUGUUCACAGUUCUGCUCACCCACAAAGCCUCUUAAAGGUCCUAAAACCUAGCUCGGAUUGAAAUCAGACUCUGGAUUGGACUCUUAUAGCUUCUCGGCCAUUCGAUCGCACCUCAUGUCAGGAAACUAAUUGUUGGAUCGUGCUCCAUCAUGACCCUGCACAUCGUUUGAUCACUGAAACAGCUCACAGCCAUUGGAUCUUGACCAUAAGCCCUGCAAACCAUCCGAUCAUGCCAUAGUCUGUGAGAGCCACUGUGAGCCACAAGAAACCAGCUUGAAAUGUCAUCUGAUCCACCAUAGACCAUGUGAAAUGCGAUGUGAAAUGUCGUCGAUCCACUCAUGGGGCAUGGACCGCAUGAAGGCACUGGGCUGUGCCUGCACAUCCAUUGGGUUAGGCCCGCGCAUGCCAGCGUUGGAUCGUACGCCAACCACCGACCUGCUCAUGCCCGUGCACUGGGCCUGGCCCACAUGCUUGUGGGCCCGCAGGCCCUGUGGACCCGUCUGCUGUCCAUGAGCCCUGCCAACCCACCUCCUCACCUUUUUUGCACAUAUCUUCUCCAUCUGGAC
This 701-nucleotide long non-coding RNA is filed under the name Elaeis guineensis (African oil palm). RNAcentral describes it as "long non-coding RNA (EGUI_LNC066655)". The record is from RNAcentral. Lineage: Eukaryota; Viridiplantae; Streptophyta; Magnoliopsida; Arecales; Arecaceae.